RNAcentral lists this ribosomal RNA (198 nucleotides) under uncultured Bifidobacterium sp. RNAcentral's name for it is "partial 16S ribosomal RNA". It matches the Rfam family "Bacterial small subunit ribosomal RNA", at positions 264 to 441 of the family's 1533-position model. The record is from RNAcentral. Lineage: Bacteria; Bacillati; Actinomycetota; Actinomycetes; Bifidobacteriales; Bifidobacteriaceae.
CGCUCUAGAACUAGCCGGUCCCCCGGGCUGCAGCCCAAUGUGGAAUUCGCCCUUCGCCCGCCGGGCGCGGCGGGCGGGGCGGGGGCACGGGGGGCCUACGGGAGGCAGCAGUGGGGAAUAUUGCACAAUGGGCGCAAGCCUGAUGCAGCGACGCCGCGUGAGGGAUGGAGGCCUUCGGGUUGUAAACCUCUUUUAUCG